This 253-nucleotide ribosomal RNA is filed under the name uncultured bacterium. Its description in RNAcentral is "partial 16S ribosomal RNA". It matches the Rfam family "Bacterial small subunit ribosomal RNA", at positions 524 to 776 of the family's 1533-position model. The record is from RNAcentral.
UACGGGGGGGGCAAGCGUUGUUCGGAAUUACUGGGCGUAAAGGGCUCGUAGGUGGCCAACUAAGUCAGACGUGAAAUCCCUCGGCUUAACCGGGGAACUGCGUCUGAUACUGGAUGGCUUGAGUUUGGGAGAGGGAUGCGGAAUUCCAGGUGUAGCGGUGAAAUGCGUAGAUAUCGUAAGGAAGACCAGUGGCGAAGGCGGGUCUCUGGACAGUUCCUGACGCUGAGGCACGAAGGCUAGGGGAGCAAACGGG